Molecule: small RNA, 126 nt
Filed under: Marmota monax (woodchuck)
Lineage: Eukaryota; Metazoa; Chordata; Mammalia; Rodentia; Sciuridae
Source: RNAcentral
GCUGGGCGCGGUGGCCACGCCUGUGAUCCCAGCAGCUCCGGAGGCUGAGGCAGGAGGAUGGCCAGUUCAAAGCCAGCCUCAGCAACUUAGUGAGGCCCUCAGCAACUCAGGGAGACCCUGUCUCUA